UACGUACCGUCCAAACGUUAUUCGGAUUCACUGGGCUUAAAGGGUGCGUAGGCGGCUCAGAAAGUAGGGUGUGAAAGCCCUCGGCUUAACCGAGGAAUUGCGCUCUAAACUACUGGGCUUGAGGAACGCAGAGGUAAGCGGAACUUACGGUGGAGCGGUGAAAUGCGUUGAUAUCGUAAGGAACACCAGGAGCGAAAGCGGCUUACUGGGCGUUUUCUGACGCUGAUGCACGAAAGCUAGGGGAGCGAACGGG
Molecule: ribosomal RNA, 253 nt
Filed under: uncultured bacterium
Lineage: Bacteria
Description: partial 16S ribosomal RNA
Rfam family: Bacterial small subunit ribosomal RNA
Source: RNAcentral